This 395-nucleotide ribosomal RNA is filed under the name uncultured bacterium. RNAcentral describes it as "bacterial SSU rRNA". It matches the Rfam family "Bacterial small subunit ribosomal RNA", at positions 28 to 425 of the family's 1533-position model. The record is from RNAcentral.
GACGGACGCUGGCGGCGUGCUUAACACAUGCAAGUCGAACGGUGAACCACUUCGGUGGGGAUCAGUGGCGAACGGGUGAGUAACACGUGGGCAACCUGCCCUUAGCUCUGGGAUAACCCCGGGAAACGGGGCUAAUACCGGAUACGACCUCGAGCGGCAGUCACUCGAGGUGGAAAGAACUUCGGCUAAGGAUGGGCCCGCGGCCUAUCAGCUUGUUGGUGGGGUAAUGGCCUACCAAGGCGACGACGGGGUAGCCGGCCUGAGAGGGCGACCGGCCACACUGGGACUGAGACACGGCCCAGACUCCUACGGGAGGCAGCAGUGGGGAAUAUUGCGCAAUGGGCGAAAAGCCUGACGCAAGCGACGCCGCGUGAGGGACGAAGGCCUUCGGGUCG